This 424-nucleotide ribosomal RNA is filed under the name uncultured Planctomycetaceae bacterium. Its description in RNAcentral is "partial 16S ribosomal RNA". It matches the Rfam family "Bacterial small subunit ribosomal RNA", at positions 355 to 774 of the family's 1533-position model. The record is from RNAcentral. Lineage: Bacteria; Pseudomonadati; Planctomycetota; Planctomycetia; Planctomycetales; Planctomycetaceae.
UCGAGAAUCUUCGGCAAUGGGCGCAAGCCUGACCGAGCGACGCCGCGUACGGGAUGAAGGCCUUCGGGUUGUAAACCGUUGUCAGUGGGGAGGAAAUGUCGGUGGGUUCUCCCAUCGAUUUGACCUAUCCGCAGAGGAAGGACGGGCUAAGUUCGUGCCAGCAGCCGCGGUAAGACGAACCGUCCAAACGUUAUUCGGAAUCACUGGGCUUAAAGGGUGCGUAGGCUGUCCGGUAAGUUGGGUGUGAAAGCCCUCGGCUCAACCGAGGAAUAGCGCCCAAAACUGUCGGACUCGAGGAAGAUAGAGGUGAACGGAACUAAGGGUGGAGCGGUGAAAUGCGUUGAUAUCCUUAGGAACACCAGUAGCGAAAGCGGUUCACUGGGUCUUUUCUGACGCUGAGGCACGAAAGCUAGGGGAGCGAACG